AGAAUCAACGCUGGCGGCGUGCCUAACACAUGCAAGUCGAACGAGAAAGUGGAGCAAUCCACGAGUAAAGUGGCGCACGGGUGAGUAACACGUGACUAACCUACCCUUGAGUGGGGGAUAACCUAGGGAAACCUGGGCUAAUACCGCAUAAUACCUUCGGGUCAAAGGAGCAAUUCGCUUAAGGAGGGGGUCGCGGCCGAUUAGUUAGUUGGCGGGGUAAUGGCCCACCAAGACUGUGAUCGGUAUCCGGCCUGAGAGGGCGCACGGACACACUGGAACUGAAACACGGUCCAGACUCCUACGGGAGGCAGCAGUGGGGAAUUUUGCGCAAUGGGGGAAACCCUGACGCAGCAACGCCGCGUGGAGGAUGAAGCCCCUUGGGGCGUAAACUCCUUUCGAUCGGGAAGAUAAUGACGGUACCGAGAGAAGAAGCCCCGGCUAACUUCGCGCCAGCAGCCGC
This 460-nucleotide ribosomal RNA is filed under the name uncultured bacterium. RNAcentral's name for it is "SSU rRNA". It matches the Rfam family "Bacterial small subunit ribosomal RNA", at positions 26 to 518 of the family's 1533-position model. The record is from RNAcentral.